CGGCGGACGGGUGAGUAACACGUGGAUAACCUACCUAUAAGACUGGGAUAACUUCGGGAAACCGGAGCUAAUACCGGAUAAUAUUUUGAACCGCAUGGUUCAAAAGUGAAAGACGGUCUUGCUGUCACUUAUAGAUGGAUCCGCGCUGCAUUAGCUAGUUGGUAAGGUAACGGCUUACCAAGGCAACGAUGCAUAGCCGACCUGAGAGGGUGAUCGGCCACACUGGAACUGAGACACGGCCCAG
Molecule: ribosomal RNA, 244 nt
Filed under: uncultured Staphylococcus sp.
Lineage: Bacteria; Bacillati; Bacillota; Bacilli; Caryophanales; Staphylococcaceae
Description: partial 16S ribosomal RNA
Rfam family: Bacterial small subunit ribosomal RNA
Source: RNAcentral